Molecule: non-coding RNA, 204 nt
Organism: Oryza meridionalis
Lineage: Eukaryota; Viridiplantae; Streptophyta; Magnoliopsida; Poales; Poaceae
Source: Rfam
AAUAAAUACAGUUUUACACUGUUUAUAUCUAACGUUUGAUUAUUUAUUUUAUUUUAAAAAAAUUAUGAUUAGUAUUUAUAUUGUUAUUAGAUGAUAAAACAUGAAUAAUACUUUACGUGUGACUAUUUUUAAAUUCUUUUAUAAAUUUUUCAAAUAAGACGGACGGUCAAACGUUGGACACGGAUUCUCACGGCUACACUUAUU